UAGGGAAUAUUGCACAAUGGGGGAAACCCUGAUGCAGCGACGCCGCGUGAGUGAUGAAGGCCUUCGGGUCGUAAAGCUCUGUCGUAUGGGACUAACAAAAUGAAGGUACCAUGCAAGAAAGGAUCGGCUAACUUCGUGCCAGCAGCCGCGGUAAGACGAGGGAUCCUAGCGUUGUUCGGAAUUAUUGGGCGUAAAGCGGGUGUAGGCGGACUUAUAAGUCAGGUGUGAAAUCCCAGGGCUCAACCCUGGAAGUGCACUUGAUACUGCAAGUCUUGAGUGUGGUAGAGGCUAUUAGAAUUCCUGGUGUAGUGGUGAAAUACGUAGAUAUCAGGAGGAAUACCGGAGGCGAAGGCGGAUAGCUGGGCCAACACUGACGCUGAGACCCGAAAGCGUGGGGAUCAAACAGGAUUAGAUACCCUCGUAGUCCCUGAGCGGGCUGGCAAGGCGCAU
Molecule: ribosomal RNA, 450 nt
Filed under: uncultured bacterium
Lineage: Bacteria
Description: bacterial SSU rRNA
Rfam family: Bacterial small subunit ribosomal RNA
Source: RNAcentral